This 2904-nucleotide ribosomal RNA is filed under the name Klebsiella oxytoca. Its description in RNAcentral is "bacterial LSU rRNA". It matches the Rfam family "Bacterial large subunit ribosomal RNA". RNAcentral also lists the same sequence under 1 other name. The record is from RNAcentral. Lineage: Bacteria; Pseudomonadati; Pseudomonadota; Gammaproteobacteria; Enterobacterales; Enterobacteriaceae.
UUAAGCGACUAAGCGUACACGGUGGAUGCCCUGGCAGUCAGAGGCGAUGAAGGACGUGCUAAUCUGCGAAAAGCGUCGGUAAGGUGAUAUGAACCGUUAUAGCCGGCGAUGUCCGAAUGGGGAAACCCAGUGCAAUUCGUUGCACUAUCGUUAACUGAAUACAUAGGUUAACGAGGCGAACCGGGGGAACUGAAACAUCUAAGUACCCCGAGGAAAAGAAAUCAACCGAGAUUCCCCCAGUAGCGGCGAGCGAACGGGGAGCAGCCCGGAGUCUGAAUCAGCUUGUGUGUUAGUGGAAGCGUCUGGAAAGUCGCAGGGUACAGGGUGAUACUCCCGUACACUAAAACACACAGGUUGUGAACUCGAAGAGUAGGGCGGGACACGUGGUAUCCUGUCUGAAUAUGGGGGGACCAUCCUCCAAGGCUAAAUACUCCUGACUGACCGAUAGUGAACCAGUACCGUGAGGGAAAGGCGAAAAGAACCCCGGCGAGGGGAGUGAAAAAGAACCUGAAACCGUGUACGUACAAGCAGUAGGAGCCCACUAGUUGGGUGACUGCGUACCUUUUGUAUAAUGGGUCAGCGACUUAUAUUCUGUAGCAAGGUUAACCGUAUAGGGGAGCCGCAGGGAAACCGAGUCUUAACUGGGCGUUAAGUUGCAGGGUAUAGACCCGAAACCCGGUGAUCUAGCCAUGGGCAGGUUGAAGGUUGGGUAACACUAACUGGAGGACCGAACCGACUAAUGUUGAAAAAUUAGCGGAUGACUUGUGGCUGGGGGUGAAAGGCCAAUCAAACCGGGAGAUAGCUGGUUCUCCCCGAAAGCUAUUUAGGUAGCGCCUCGUGAACUCAUCUUCGGGGGUAGAGCACUGUUUCGGCUAGGGGGUCAUCCCGACUUACCAACCCGAUGCAAACUACGAAUACCGAAGAAUGUUAUCACGGGAGACACACGGCGGGUGCUAACGUCCGUCGUGAAGAGGGAAACAACCCAGACCGCCAGCUAAGGUCCCAAAGUCAUGGUUAAGUGGGAAACGAUGUGGGAAGGCCCAGACAGCCAGGAUGUUGGCUUAGAAGCAGCCAUCAUUUAAAGAAAGCGUAAUAGCUCACUGGUCGAGUCGGCCUGCGCGGAAGAUGUAACGGGGCUAAACCAUGCACCGAAGCUGCGGCAGCGACGCUUAUGCGUUGUUGGGUAGGGGAGCGUUCUGUAAGCCGUUGAAGGUGGCCUGUGAGGGUUGCUGGAGGUAUCAGAAGUGCGAAUGCUGACAUAAGUAACGAUAAUGCGGGUGAAAAACCCGCACGCCGGAAGACCAAGGGUUCCUGUCCAACGUUAAUCGGGGCAGGGUGAGUCGACCCCUAAGGCGAGGCCGAAAGGCGUAGUCGAUGGGAAACAGGUUAAUAUUCCUGUACUCGGUGUUACUGCGAAGGGGGGACGGAGAAGGCUAUGUUGGCCGGGCGACGGUUGUCCCGGUUUAAGCAUGUAGGCGGAUGUUCCAGGUAAAUCCGGAACGUUAUUAACGCUGAGGUGUGAUGACGAGGCACUACGGUGCUGAAGUGACAAAUGCCCUGCUUCCAGGAAAAGCCUCUAAGCAUCAGGUAACAUCAAAUCGUACCCCAAACCGACACAGGUGGUCAGGUAGAGAAUACCAAGGCGCUUGAGAGAACUCGGGUGAAGGAACUAGGCAAAAUGGUGCCGUAACUUCGGGAGAAGGCACGCUGAUGGUAAGUGAAGUGACUUGCUCAUGGAGCUGAAAUCAGUCGAAGAUACCAGCUGGCUGCAACUGUUUAUUAAAAACACAGCACUGUGCAAACACGAAAGUGGACGUAUACGGUGUGACGCCUGCCCGGUGCCGGAAGGUUAAUUGAUGGGGUUAUCCGUAAGGAGAAGCUCUUGAUCGAAGCCCCGGUAAACGGCGGCCGUAACUAUAACGGUCCUAAGGUAGCGAAAUUCCUUGUCGGGUAAGUUCCGACCUGCACGAAUGGCGUAAUGAUGGCCAGGCUGUCUCCACCCGAGACUCAGUGAAAUUGAACUCGCUGUGAAGAUGCAGUGUACCCGCGGCAAGACGGAAAGACCCCGUGAACCUUUACUAUAGCUUGACACUGAACACUGGUCCUUGAUGUGUAGGAUAGGUGGGAGGCUUUGAAGUGUGGACGCCAGUCUGCAUGGAGCCAUCCUUGAAAUACCACCCUUUAAUGGCUGGUGUUCUAACGUGGGCCCGUAAUCCGGGUUGCGGACAGUGUCUGGUGGGUAGUUUGACUGGGGCGGUCUCCUCCUAAAGAGUAACGGAGGAGCACGAAGGUCAGCUAAUCCUGGUCGGACAUCAGGAGGUUAGUGCAAUGGCAUAAGCUGGCUUGACUGCGAGCGUGACGGCGCGAGCAGGUGCGAAAGCAGGUCAUAGUGAUCCGGUGGUUCUGAAUGGAAGGGCCAUCGCUCAACGGAUAAAAGGUACUCCGGGGAUAACAGGCUGAUACCGCCCAAGAGUUCAUAUCGACGGCGGUGUUUGGCACCUCGAUGUCGGCUCAUCACAUCCUGGGGCUGAAGUAGGUCCCAAGGGUAUGGCUGUUCGCCAUUUAAAGUGGUACGCGAGCUGGGUUUAGAACGUCGUGAGACAGUUCGGUCCCUAUCUGCCGUGGGCGCUGGAGAAUUGAGGGGGCUGCUCCUAGUACGAGAGGACCGGAGUGGACGCAUCACUGGUGUUCGGGUUGUCAUGCCAAUGGCAUUGCCCGGUAGCUAAAUGCGGAAGAGAUAAGUGCUGAAAGCAUCUAAGCACGAAACUUGCCCCGAGAUGAGUUCUCCCUGACUCCUUGAGAGUCCUGAAGGAACGUUGAAGACGACGACGUUGAUAGGCCGGGUGUGUAAGCGCAGCGAUGCGUUGAGCUAACCGGUACUAAUGAACCGUGAGGCUUAACCUU